RNAcentral lists this transfer RNA (72 nucleotides) under Emiliania huxleyi. Its description in RNAcentral is "tRNA-Gly". It matches the Rfam family "tRNA". Rfam says of the family: Transfer RNA (tRNA) molecules are approximately 80 nucleotides in length. Their secondary structure includes four short double-helical elements and three loops (D, anti-codon, and T loops). The record is from RNAcentral. RNAcentral also lists the same sequence under 9 other names. Lineage: Eukaryota; Haptophyta; Isochrysidales; Noelaerhabdaceae.
GCGAGUGUAGCUCAGGGGUAGAGCGCAACCUUGCCAAGGUUGAUGUCGCGCGUUCGAAUCGCGUCACUCGCU